UAGGGAAUCUUCGGCAAUGGACGAAAGUCUGACCGAGCAACGCCGCGUGAGUGAAGAAGGUUUUCGGAUCGUAAAACUCUGUUGUUAGAGAAGAACAAGGACGUUAGUAACUGAACGUCCCCUGACGGUAUCUAACCAGAAAGCCACGGCUAACUACGUGCCAGCAGCCGCGGUAAUACGUAGGUGGCAAGCGUUGUCCGGAUUUAUUGGGCGUAAAGCGAGCGCAGGCGGUUUCUUAAGUCUGAUGUGAAAGCCCCCGGCUCAACCGGGGAGGGUCGUUGGAAACUGGGAGACGUGAGUGCAGAAGAGGAGAGUGGAAUUCCAUGUGUAGCGGUGAAAUGCGUAGAUAUAUGGAGGAGCACCAGUGGCGAAGGCGGCUCUCUGGUCUGUAACUGACGCUGAGGCGCGAAAGCGUGGGGAGCAAACAGG
This 429-nucleotide ribosomal RNA is filed under the name Chloroflexota bacterium. Its description in RNAcentral is "Chloroflexi bacterium partial 16S ribosomal RNA". It matches the Rfam family "Bacterial small subunit ribosomal RNA", at positions 355 to 776 of the family's 1533-position model. The record is from RNAcentral. Lineage: Bacteria; Bacillati; Chloroflexota.